UUACGCUGUUAUCCCUAAGGUAAGUGAUUUUAAAAUUCUAAAUUUUAGGAUUUUUUAUUCAUUAAUUAAUGUUUAUAUAUUAAAAGUUUAUUUAAUUUUAAAAUUACCCCAAUUAAAUAUAUAAAUAAGUUUUUAAAAUUAUUAUUAUAAAAUUCUAUAGGGUCUUCUCGUCUUUUAAUAAAAUUUAAGCAUUUUUACUUAAAAUUUAAAUUUAAAUUUUAAUUAUUUUUAUAUAGUUUAUAUCUCAUUAAAUCAUUCAUUCUAGUUUUUAAUUAAAAAACUAAUUAUUAUGCUACCUUUGUACAGUUAGUUAUACUGCAGCCAUUAAAAUUUAUCAUUGGGCAGAUUUGACUUAAAAUUAUAAUCUAUAAGACAUGUUUUUGUUAAACAGGCG
Molecule: ribosomal RNA, 394 nt
Filed under: Ephedrus persicae
Lineage: Eukaryota; Metazoa; Arthropoda; Insecta; Hymenoptera; Braconidae
Description: partial 16S ribosomal RNA
Source: RNAcentral